Long non-coding RNA from Spea bombifrons (plains spadefoot toad), 330 nucleotides. RefSeq lists it as uncharacterized. Lineage: Eukaryota; Metazoa; Chordata; Amphibia; Anura; Pelobatidae. The transcript is spliced from 3 exons. The record is from RefSeq and is a predicted model, not a curated record.
GAGAUUCCCACCUAGUGUAUUUUUUGUUGUGUGUGAGUGAGAACCCCUCGUAUCCGCAUCGGCGAAGCCAGAGAGAAGGAGUAGGCACGGUCCAGGGCCUUUGGGAGAAGGAGGACGGCGAGGCGAGCCACGGGACCGGCCCCAUCGCUGCGAUAAUGAAGGACGGGAAGCAGGCAUCUGAACGGAUCCUGAACAUCACCUUGGAGAUCAUCUACCUGCUCACUGGAGAGGAUUAUGUAAUUGUGAAGAAGCCAUGCGAGUGCGUCGCGCGCAGCCGAGAUCCGUGCACGUCGGACGGGUGCUGCAGGACCCAGCGGCCCGGCGCGUUGC